This 465-nucleotide long non-coding RNA is filed under the name Dromaius novaehollandiae (emu). Its description in RNAcentral is "lncRNA (ENSDNVG00000001030.1)". The record is from RNAcentral. Lineage: Eukaryota; Metazoa; Chordata; Aves; Casuariiformes; Dromaiidae.
CCCGCCAUCACCUCCUGCCAGCUCUGCCCACAGCACUGCAGCCCUGGCAGGGGCUGCGCAGCAGCUCUACAGGCACUCUUGCUGUGAGAAAAUCUGAGAUUUCAUGGAAAAURUGUUCCAGAGCCUUUUGAACCAGAGUUCCUGUGAGAUGCCAAAUGAAUCACUUAAACCAACUUMUCCUGUGCCCCAUUUCUGGGAAUCUGACCUUGUACGUUUGGAAAAUUGUGAAAUCAGAAGGCACUUGGAAUUUAUGAAUGCUAGAUUAAAUGGGAGGAAAAAAAAAUCAAGUCAUGAAUUGCACCUAUAAUUCGGCUACAUCAAACACCCGUAACUGCAGGGAAUGGAUGGUUUGCAAAGCACUCAGGUAUGUUGCAUUGCAGAAAGGCCUGCAAGGGAAUGAACAAUGUGAUUUGGGGGAUUUGAAUAGUGUACGAUAAAUAAGGCCGGAGGUCAUACAAUGGGCAU